AUUUUGUUUGCCUCCCUAUCCUUCUAUCUGCCUAACAGGUUUAUUAUUGCUGCCAGAAGGAAUUAACCUUCCCAUGCAAUCUAUGUCCCCUAUGUUUCUAAUUGCUUACUGCUUCUCCAUGCCAGGACCUAGACAAACCUCACUAAUUGACAGGGCUGUGUUGCCUCACACUAGUAAACUAAUGCUAAACAACCUAUUUCUGUCAAGAGGGCAGACUAUACAUGCUAAU
Pelobates cultripes (western spadefoot toad) is the source of this 229-nucleotide non-coding RNA. The record is from the annotation of a GenBank genome assembly. Lineage: Eukaryota; Metazoa; Chordata; Amphibia; Anura; Pelobatidae.